CAAAUACUUAGCAGCACCUUAUGACAUUACAUGCAGUUUUUAUGUUAUUAAACACCCUAUACAAUCAGAAUUUCAGAGAAGAAUAAUCUUAACUUGAUAAUCAGACGUUUUCUCAAUUUUGCGUCUUUUAACAGAAGUAGGUUUGAUUUUUGUUGCAAGAUGCAAAAAUGGGAAAAUCAGACUUUUCCUCCGUGACAAUCUGAUUGUUAGGGGCAGAAAUAAAUAAACUACUAAAUUGGAUAAAAUUAUGAAAUAUAAAUGUACAAACAGAUAAUUUUUACACCAUGUUACCUGUUUUCAAAUGUAGUCUCAAGUGGUUAACUGAUAAAUGUUACACUGUCAGAAAAUCACUAGGGUUAAUAUCAGCUCUUCCGUGCUGUUGUGGUGGAAAAGUUUUAGUGGGAGUGGAAUGAAAGAUUCGAGGAGUCGAUCCUUUGGAGAAUGUGAAGCCCAAUGCAGGCGACCGUGGAGUUAAACGUGAGCGAGAGUGUGCGUGUGUGUGUGCGUGCGUGUGCGUGUGUAUGUGUGUAUGAGAGAGAGAGAGAGAGAGAGAGAGAGAGAGAGAGAGAGUGUAGGCGGGAGAGGAAAAGGGGCAGAGUUUCGUUGAGCGGGAUCACAAGCAGUACAGACUGUCUUACAGCAACACUGUAUCUACUUACGUGCCCGGAGGUUUAAUCAGAAUGGCUCUUGUACGGACUGUUCUCAUGGCGUGGCUCCUAGCAGUGCUGAGCUUAGAUAGAACUGCAGCACAAUCAGAAGUCCAUGCCUCCGUUGGGGAGAACGUGAUCCUGCCAUGUACCUGCUCUACCAUAACUGAAAAAGUUGUAUGGCAAUAUGGUGACACUGUUGUGAUCCAUUAUAAUAAGUCAGCAGAAAAGACCUUCAUACCAGAUGCUUCAUACAAGAACAGGGUUCUCUUCCUGAGUGAAGGAAUUAAGGAAGGCCAAUGUUCUCUGCUUCUACGCCAAGUGACUGAGGCUGAUGAGAAGAAAUAUACAUGUUACACCAUGGAUGACGACAAAUCUCUCAAUGAAUCCCAUGUUUAUUUGAAAAUUAACCAAAGAAGAGUAGAAACACCCACCCAACAACCACCUCCAAACACGGUUGCCGCUUCCUUAUCACUGGUGGCUAUCAUGGUAAUAAUUCUGGCAAUCAUAAUAAUUGGGAUCAUGCUAAAGAGGAGACGUCGUCAAAGAAUGUUACAGGAGAAUCAUCUGGACCCACAAUCUGGACUUCCAAUAAUGGAUCACAGCCCUGUGUGACGAAGACCACAAAGUUUACCUUCAUUCCUGAGUGAGCCAUGAAUCAUGGCUUGGACAGCUUGGACAGUACGAGAUUAACAGCUGGACUGUUCUUGGGCAUUUGGAAUUGUGUUCAUGGUGUUGAUCACCUGUAUACAUAUUCUAUUGUACUGUAAUGUACAUUUUUACAGAAAUUGAUUUGGUAGGCUUUUUUUCUACUGUGAUCGAUUGUACUAGGGCAGAUGUUUCUGCAGCGGGGGAGCGAUACUGUGAAAUUGCAGCUUGACAACAUUUUCAGACAUUCAAAUUUCACAUGAUAAUCUUAUCUCUCAGUGUUUUGAUAUUAAAGUAAGCAGUGCUGUCUUUGGACCGGAACAGGAAAAACAGGUCAUAGUAGACACAUGAAACCUGUAUUUUGGGGGGGUUACCAUGUUGAAAAACAAGUGCCGAAUUACUGAAUGUACAGUGUUGUCAGGGCUUGAACAGAACUAGUGAAAACAUGCAGGAAGUAGGUGAAAGGUUAAUGAAUGUAUUAAAGUAACUAAGUGAGAGAUGAAUGAAACAUCUGGAAGAACAGAGAGAGUGAAUAGCUUCCUGGAUAUCGUUUUACUUGCUGUCCAAUCAUAUUGUACUUGUACUUUUUCUGAAGGUCAGUGGUGCAUUAAAUCAAAAGGACAUUCACUGAAUAACAGAUGGACACCAUCACCCAAAUGUUAUUCUGUGCUCUAUUCAUUGAGAGUAGAAAUUGAUCCGAUGUGUGCUUUGGCAUUACUUUUUAUAAUUGAUUUUAUACUUAACCUAUCCAUCUGGGAUGGCUUUCUUUUGGUGUGUGUUUUCAUUCUUGUAGUGUACUCCCUAUGGGAUAGAUUUGCUUGCUUGUAUUUAAUACAACAUAUAUUUUUGUAAAGCAGAAUUAUGGAUGUUAUCACAACC
This 2174-nucleotide long non-coding RNA is filed under the name Astyanax mexicanus (Mexican tetra). RNAcentral's name for it is "lncRNA (ENSAMXG00005024002.1)". The record is from RNAcentral. Lineage: Eukaryota; Metazoa; Chordata; Actinopteri; Characiformes; Acestrorhamphidae.